ACUCAAAUGAAUAGACGGGGGCCCGCACAAGCAGCGGAGCGUGUGGUUUAAUUCGAGGCUACACGAAGAACCUUACCUGGGUUGGACAUGCCAGUGGUAGGGAGCCGAAAGGCAACCGACCUUCGGGAGCUGGUACAGGUGCUGCAUGGCUGUCGUCAGCUCGUGUCGUGAGAUGUUCGGUUAAGUCCGAAAACGAGCGCAACCCCCAGUGUGCGUUACAGGUGUCGCACACGACUGCCCGUGACAAACGGGAGGAAGGUGGGGAUGACGUCAAGUCAGCAUGGCCUUUAUAUCCAGGGCUACACACACGCUACAAUGGUCGGUACAACGGGACGCGAAACCGCGAGGGGGAGCCAAUCUCUGAAAGCCGAUCGUAGUUCGGAUUGCAGGCUGCAACUCGCCUGCAUGAAGCUGGAGUUGCUAGUAACCGCGCGUCAGCCAUAGUGCGGUGAAUACGUUCCCGGGCCUUGUACACACCGCCCGU
RNAcentral lists this ribosomal RNA (484 nucleotides) under uncultured bacterium. Its description in RNAcentral is "partial 16S ribosomal RNA". It matches the Rfam family "Bacterial small subunit ribosomal RNA", at positions 899 to 1397 of the family's 1533-position model. The record is from RNAcentral.